CAGUCGCCGCGGUAAAACGUAGGUGGCAAGCGUUGUCCGGAAUUAUUGGGCGUAAAGGGCUCGCAGGCGGUUUCUUAAGUCUGAUGUGAAAGCCCCCGGCUCAACCGGGGAGGGUCAUUGGAAACUGGGAAACUUGAGUGCAGAAGAGGAGAGUGGAACUCCACGUGUAGCGGUGAAAUGCGUAGAGAUGUGGAGGAACACCAGUGGCGAAGGCGACUCUCUGGUCUGUAACUGACGCUGAGGAGCGAAAGCGUGGGGAGCGAACAGGAUUAGAUACCCCCGUAGUCCCUGUCUCUUAUAC
RNAcentral lists this ribosomal RNA (301 nucleotides) under uncultured bacterium. RNAcentral's name for it is "partial 16S ribosomal RNA". It matches the Rfam family "Bacterial small subunit ribosomal RNA", at positions 509 to 807 of the family's 1533-position model. The record is from RNAcentral.